AUAGGUGCCAAGUGUUUGCAUAAAUACGAUAACAGGGAACCCUUCCGGCGCACUUCCGCCGAUGGGAAAACCGCCAAAUUCCACAAAACAUAAAAUUUAUAAAAAUACGGGAACCAAGUGGUUUGAAAACAAAACGAGAUAAGCAGUGACCAGGAAGGGUACAUGGUUUAUCGUAAGUAAACAGCUGAUAAGUAAACAGCAACCUUAAUGAGCCAUUUAUACGAAUAUGUAAGUUGGGGAUACGGCAGAGUUUUUCGUUUCUGAAUAUAAGUUGGGGGCGAUGACAAUAAGCACGCUUUUUAUGACGUCAUGCCAAUACAUAAGCUCGAAUUUUGUGUUCAAUAUUUUUGCAGACACUGGUUUAGGAUGCGGACAAUCUCGUUCCACUUGAAACGGAGGCCAAGCGCAAUGUGAGCCUCUCGUGACGCUCCGCUGCCUUUCAAUUAACGCGUGAACAGCUUCCAUAGUACAG
This is a long non-coding RNA of Scaptodrosophila lebanonensis, 472 nucleotides long. RefSeq lists it as uncharacterized. The transcript has 3 exons. Lineage: Eukaryota; Metazoa; Arthropoda; Insecta; Diptera; Drosophilidae. The record is from RefSeq and is a predicted model, not a curated record.